Molecule: long non-coding RNA, 663 nt
Filed under: Trifolium pratense (red clover)
Lineage: Eukaryota; Viridiplantae; Streptophyta; Magnoliopsida; Fabales; Fabaceae
Description: long non-coding RNA (TPRA_LNC008937)
Source: RNAcentral
CCAGACAUGUUCCCUGUAUGAUUAAGAACACUUGGUUUUCCUAAAUAUACUAUGUGUGAUUGCCAUUUAAUCAUAAGGUUAACUAUUUGAUUUAACAAUUUGUCAUGUUUAAACUUUAAAAUACUUGCAAAGAGUGAAAGGGAUAUGAAGGAGCGUCGGAUGAGAAUCAUUUGUCUAAGGUAAGCUCAAAUUACCCUCUUUUGUCCAUUAACUUAUAAAAAUUAAUGUUUAGAAUAAUGUCUUUUUUAUGUUUGAUGAAGUACCUUCUUAGUAAUAGGUAAGGUAAUGUGUAAUUUUUGUGUUUUAGACAUUCCUUUAUUCUUUUGUAUGUUGGAACUAGAGCCAACAAAUAUGGUGGCUUCUAGGGUGAGGGCUCUAUCAAGUCCCUCACCGGUGUACCAUUUAACUUAACCGUUAGAUUAGUCAAGUGUAUAUUAUACAAUUAGACAUUACCACACUGGAUCAAAGCCUUUCUUUACAUUCAUGUAAUUUUGUGUGUAAUUCUCUCUUUUGGUUAUUGUUUUGGUCUAAUUAAAACGUGUUGUAUGCCCGUGUUGUUUAAUUUCCAUGUAUAACAGAGUGUGUUAAUUCAAGGAGAGGUGUUGCUAAGCCUCCGAAAAUCAAACUUCCAAAAGCAUACAACGGAAUUUGGAACAGAUCAAG